Molecule: ribosomal RNA, 255 nt
Filed under: uncultured bacterium
Lineage: Bacteria
Description: partial 16S ribosomal RNA
Rfam family: Bacterial small subunit ribosomal RNA
Source: RNAcentral
UACGAAGGGGGCUAGCGUUGCUCGGAAUCACUGGGCGUAAAGGGUGCGUAGGCGGGUCUUUUAAGUCAGGGGUGAAAUCCUGGAGCUCAACUCCAGAACUGCCUUUGAUACUGAAGAUCUUGAGUUCGGGAGAGGUGAGUGGAACUGCGAGUGUAGAGGUGAAAUUCGUAGAUAUUCGCAAGAACACCAGUGGCGAAGGCGGCUUACUGGUCCGGUUCUGACGCGUGAGGCGCGAAAGCGUGGGGAGCAAACAGG